RNAcentral lists this ribosomal RNA (224 nucleotides) under Boophis quasiboehmei. RNAcentral describes it as "partial 16S ribosomal RNA". It matches the Rfam family "Bacterial large subunit ribosomal RNA", at positions 1927 to 2249 of the family's 2925-position model. The record is from RNAcentral. Lineage: Eukaryota; Metazoa; Chordata; Amphibia; Anura; Mantellidae.
ACGGCCACGGUACCCUAACCGUGCAAAGGUAGCAUAAUCACUUGUUCUUUAAAUGAGGACUAGUAUCAACGGCAUCACGAGGAUCCUACUGUCUCCCCCCUCUAAUCAGUGAAACUGAUCUCCCCGUGAAGAAGCGGGGAUAUACAUAUAAGACGAGAAGACCCCAUGGAGCUUUAAACCUGACAGCACCCGCUCAUUCUAUACCCCAUUAUUUGCCCGACCCC